ACACCGAUGGUGAAACGGUAUCAUGCUUGCCUUCCACGGUCGGUCUUUGAUAGCAAGCGGCGCGGGUUCGACUCCCGCUCGGUGUA
This is a non-coding RNA of Postia placenta Mad-698-R, 86 nucleotides long. Lineage: Eukaryota; Fungi; Basidiomycota; Agaricomycetes; Polyporales; Adustoporiaceae. The record is from Rfam.